This 281-nucleotide unclassified non-coding RNA is filed under the name uncultured fungus. RNAcentral describes it as "sequence contains ITS2". The record is from RNAcentral. Lineage: Eukaryota; Fungi.
UUUUCCGGGGAGUAUGCCUGUUUGAGGGUCGUUGAAAUAAUAAUCGAAUUUUUGUUACCCUUGUAGCAACAUUUCGGAAUUGAACCAUCUUGUAUCUUUGAUAUUAAGAGGCUUAAAAUUGAAUCAUUUUGGUAUGAUUUGAGCGUACUUAAAAAAAAAUUUCUUUAUUGCGCUUGGUGAAUAUCGAACGUUUUAUUAGGAUGACCAUUGAUCAUGGUUUUAUGCCUAUAAUCAUCUUUGAUUUCGACCUCAAAUCAGGUAGGAAUACCCGCUGAACUUAA